UUAAGUUGCAGGGUAUAGACCCGAAACCCGGUGAUCUAGCCAUGGGCAGGUUGAAGGUUGGGUAACACUAACUGGAGGACCGAACCGACUAAUGUUGAAAAAUUAGCGGAUGACCUGUGGCUGGGGGUGAAAGGCCAAUCAAACCGGGAGAUAGCUGGUUCUCCCCGAAAGCUAUUUAGGUAGCGCCUCGUGAAUUCAUCUCCGGGGGUAGAGCA
RNAcentral lists this ribosomal RNA (215 nucleotides) under Salmonella enterica. RNAcentral's name for it is "partial 23S ribosomal RNA". It matches the Rfam family "Bacterial large subunit ribosomal RNA", at positions 695 to 909 of the family's 2925-position model. Lineage: Bacteria; Pseudomonadati; Pseudomonadota; Gammaproteobacteria; Enterobacterales; Enterobacteriaceae. The record is from RNAcentral.